AUGGAUAGAUUUUGGGGAGGAUUAAACCGUGAUAUUCAAGAGAUACUAAUUCAUGAAGAGUGUUAUCCUAUGGACCAUUUGUUUCAUCUUGCUUGCAAAGCUGAACAGGAAAUAAAACGACGUGUUGGCAAUGAGGAGAACAAGCGCACGGUGCACAUUCCAAGAGUUGAUAUGAUUGUUCCUUCAACUACUAGGCAUACUAUGACAACCUCAUCCGUUGUUGUCAGGACUACAUCACCUCCACCAUGUGACACAUCGCCCCCGAGAGUGGCUACAUCAUCUGAGUUGAUCAUAAGAGGUAAUGACAAAGGUACUGAUCUUCCAUCUCUACAUGAGAAUGAUGAAUGCCUUGUCAAUUUGAAUUCACCAUCUGAUGAGCUACCCACUACUUUGAUCACACCACCUAUUUUAGAGGACUACGUUGAUAAUUUGACUUUGCCAUGUGAUCAAACAACUGAAAUACCAACAAUUUUGAAUGCACCCAUUGAAUUAACUAUUGAUGCAAAAGAACCAAUGUUUAAUCAUUUUGAUAGGACCUCUAAUCUUGGUGAUGAUUCUGUGUUGAAUGACUUAUUGCAUGUUUGCUUAUUUAAGCAUGUUGUAGCAUGUAAAUUUGAUGCAAGUAAGGUUUAUUCACCAAUGUUGGGAUGGUUUAAUGAUGAACAUUGUCAAUCUUUUGAAAUGAAUAAGAGCUUCACUUAUAUGUGCAAACUGAGUUGCAAUAUUUUCAUGCCUUCUACUUCUUGUGCUAAUUUUUUGGCUUUAGAUUUUAUGAACUAUGGAAGUUACUCAUCUAUUCAUGUGUCAUAUAUGCAAAAAUCAAGGGAAGUAAAAAUGGAUGACAUAUACAUAUACAACAUGUACACCUUGUCUCUUUUGUUAGCCACAUUUCAGAUUAAGCAACGCCGAUGA
This 912-nucleotide ribosomal RNA is filed under the name Triticum aestivum (bread wheat). RNAcentral describes it as "partial small subunit ribosomal RNA". The record is from RNAcentral. Lineage: Eukaryota; Viridiplantae; Streptophyta; Magnoliopsida; Poales; Poaceae.